UGGGUCGCACGCGUGCUACAAUGACGCCACGAACGAGUUUGCGUGAUGAAAGUCACGCAUAAUCAGCAGUCGGCGUCUUAAGGGAUAGUCUCUUGUAACUGUGGGACUCCAACUAGGAAUGUCUCGUAAGCACAAGUCAACAUCUUGUGUUGAUUACGUCCCUGCUCUUUGUACACACCGCCCGUCGCUCCUACCGAUCGAGUGUUUAGGUGAAUUUGAUGGACGUAAGGAAGUCAAAUAAACCUGAGCACUUAGAGGAAGGAGAAGUCGUAACAAGGUUUCCGUAGGUGAACCUGCGGAAGGAUCAUUCCAUUAGCGCGCGAUUCAUUGGUUCUCAACCUGCGUAAGCAGCGUAAUAAAGGUUUUUUAGCUUUGGAGGUGUCGGGUACUGAUCCGAGGAAGGACGCAGUUACACGCGAUAUUCAACCUGAAUCGCAAAACUGCGGAUGGUCGGGUGUCUGAAUGCUCAAAGCCGGAGCUACUGGUCACGCUCUAACACACCCCUUCGGUGUCUCACUUCCGCGUGAUGUGAGAAUUCCAAAAUAUUUUCACGUGACCACUAGCGGGGCAUGUAGUUAAUUUAAGCUUAUAAGUUAAUACACAAAGAAACUAAAUAGGAUGGACCGAGUAGUGGCGAAUGAAAAGUCCAAAGACCGAUCCGAAUUCAAGUUGUGGAUCCUACACUUCGGAAGACUCCAAAUCACCUGGAACGGUGGGCCGUAGAGAGUGAUAGCC
RNAcentral lists this ribosomal RNA (735 nucleotides) under Mesodinium sp. Its description in RNAcentral is "bacterial SSU rRNA". The stretch from base 1 to 310 matches the Rfam family "Eukaryotic small subunit ribosomal RNA", at positions 1483 to 1831 of the family's 1831-position model. The record is from RNAcentral. Lineage: Eukaryota; Ciliophora; Litostomatea; Cyclotrichida; Mesodiniidae.